CAAAGUGAGGGAGGGACGUUU
RNAcentral lists this microRNA (21 nucleotides) under Sus scrofa (pig). Its description in RNAcentral is "ssc-miR-9791-3p". The record is from miRBase by way of RNAcentral. Lineage: Eukaryota; Metazoa; Chordata; Mammalia; Artiodactyla; Suidae.